RNAcentral lists this ribosomal RNA (1048 nucleotides) under uncultured bacterium. RNAcentral's name for it is "bacterial SSU rRNA". It matches the Rfam family "Bacterial small subunit ribosomal RNA", at positions 57 to 1143 of the family's 1533-position model. The record is from RNAcentral.
GCAAGUCGAACGGGAAGCGGGGCUUCGGCCCCGUGGAGAGUGGCGAACGGGUGCGUAACACGUGAGCAACCUGCCCCGAAGGCCGGGAUAACCCGAGGAAACUCGGGCUAAUACCGGAUGCCCUCACCGAGUCGCAUGGCUUGGUGAGGAAAUGGAUUCCGCUUCGGGAUGGGCUCGCGGUCUAUCAGCUUGUUGGUGGGGUAACGGCCCACCAAGGCGACGACGGAUAGCUGGUCUGAGAGGACGAUCAGCCACACUGGGACUGAGACACGGCCCAGACUCCUACGGGAGGCAGCAGUAGGGAAUCUUGCGCAAUGGGGGAAACCCUGACGCAGCGACGCCGCGUGCGGGAUGAAGGCCCUCGGGUUGUAAACCGCUUUCAGCAGGGACGAAAUUGACGGUACCUGCAGAAGAAGGCCCGGCCAACUACGUGCCAGCAGCCGCGGUAAUACGUAGGGGCCAAGCGUUGUCCGGAUUUAUUGGGCGUAAAGAGCUCGUAGGCGGUUCGGCAAGUCAGUUGUGAAAUCUCCGCGCUCAACGCGGAGGGGUCAGCUGAAACUGCCGUGACUUGAGUCUGGUAGGGGAGUGUGGAAUUCCCGGUGUAGCGGUGAAAUGCGCAGAUAUCGGGAGGAACACCAGUGGCGAAGGCGGCACUCUGGGCCAGUACUGACGCUGAGAGCGAAAGCGUGGGGAGCGAACAGGAUUAGAUACCCUGGUAGUCCACGCCGUAAACGUUGGGCACUAGGUGUGGGGACCUAUCGACGGUUUCCGUGCCGUAGCUAACGCAUUAAGUGCCCCGCCUGGGGAGUACGGCCGCAAGGCUAAAACUCAAAGGAAUUGAGGGGCCCGCACAAGCGGCGGACGUGUGGCUUAAUUCGAUGCAACGCGAAGAACUUACCUAGGCUUGACAUGUACGGUAAAGCGGGUGAAAGCCCGUGUCCUUCGGGGCCGUACACGGUGGUGCAUGGCGUCAGCUCUGUCGAGAUGUUGGUUAAGUCCCGAACGCCCCUGUAUCUAGGGUACAGUCACAAAGGGGAACACGGUCCCU